Long non-coding RNA from Papaver somniferum (opium poppy), 2276 nucleotides. RefSeq lists it as uncharacterized. NCBI's taxonomy places the organism in Eukaryota, Viridiplantae, Streptophyta, Magnoliopsida, Ranunculales, Papaveraceae. The transcript is spliced from 9 exons. The record is from RefSeq and is a predicted model, not a curated record.
UCUCGAAGUAAUUUUCUGAUUAAAACCCAAGCUCUUGUGCUGUAUGAGAAAUUGGAGGUAUAGGUGGUGCUGGUAAUUUGUUGAAUUAGUAGAAUUUGGAAGUGAUUCUUGAAAACAUUAGAACUUACUAAAUUAGUUCAUGCUGUGUUAGACUUGAUUGGAUUAGUUCAUGCUUUGCUUAAUUGUAAUUGGUGGUGCUGGUGGAGGUAUAAGUGGUGGGGAAUGGUUGAAUUGGUGGAUUAGGAAGUGGGGGUAGUGUUAAAAGAAGUUCAGCAGAUUCCUAUGGUCCCGAAGACAAGUUUUCAUCGUAUACGGGAAGGAUGCGUAGGAGAAAAAAAAGAAGAAAACCGAAUUUAUUGAUUUGAUCUUGGUUUUGUUUUGUUGACGGAAUUUUCAAUGAGUGUUUUUGACGAAUGGGUGGUGGUCAGGUGGUGUGGUAUCUUAAGGGUAUUUUCGAUAUUUGAAAUACUGACCUGGCAAAUACCUGGCUAGAAGCGGCAUAUGCGGUGACACGUGUGAAACUUAAUAGGGUCAACAACAUUUCCUCUCGAGAAUGUCCUACAAACUGGGCUGGGCUUGGGUAACCCAGCGAAUCUAUUUUCCUUCUCUUCAAAACCUCAGAAGCGGCGGGAAUUCAAAUAUAAGAGAGGGGUUACAAUUCCAUUUAUUUAGUCUCUUAUUUAUUUAGUCUCUUCUCUUCCACAGAAGAACUCUACAUUCCAGAAACUUUCAUCUCUUUUAUUCCGACAGAAUAACUCUACGUUCCAUAAACUUACAGUAUCAGAUUUUCAUCAGUUCAGUUCAGAAUGAAGGUUUAUGUGAAAUUAAUAAGUGGAAGGAUCAUUAUUUUGCAAAACUACUCAAUUGAACAAAAUCUAAAGCUACAAGACAAGUUCGGCAGUCCACCGGGAAGUAGUUCAGAAUGCUUGCUAUCAAAAGAGUUAUUGAUUGUUAACAAACUCAAAUUCAUAGUUGAUCUGAAGAUUCAAAGAAUUUUAAACUUAAGAGAACGGACGAAGGUUUACGAGAGUUUAAGCAUCGCCUUCCAGAUUUGAAACAUACCCGUCUUACCUUUCAACAAAAACAAAAGGAGAAGUCGUUGUUGAUGUGGGAAAUUACAAGAACUGGUAUCACGGCUAAAGAGUUUAGAUCAAAUGCAGAUCUAUUAGAAAAUAAUACACAAAUCAAGGCUCUAGUGAAGGAGAUUGAUCGUCUUGAUCAACUAAUGAGAUACAAGACUGCUAUGCUGAAUUGUUUCAACGAACGGUUUAUAACCUUGAUCUCUGAAUUAGAUGUGAUUGAUCAGAAAAUCAAAAAUACUAAUUACAUUUUGAAAAGUGGUAAAAUGGUAACACCAGUCCAGGCUGGCACUGAUGGAUUUGGGUAUGGAAAGGUCGAGAAGAUGUCGGUUUCUCGAAUGUCCUUAGAGAAAGAAUUCAGUGCUUUUGCAGCAUCCAAGGGGUUCAGUCAAUGCAAGGGCCAAGGAUCCAGGUGAUAUAAAAGCUUCAAUUAAACGAGCAGCAGCUAAAAGAUUUGCCGAGGAUGCAAUUGCCAGGUCUUCAAGGGUAGGCUCAAGUAGCAGCUGCGGUAUGCAAACUUUGUUGGAUAAAUUGGAGGGUUGGAAAGUGGCAAUAGAGGAGGGAAACUGGCUCAGGCAUUAUGAACGAGAAGAAAAUUGUUAUAACGCUGGAAAAGUAGCAGAGCAUCAUCUAGAACGCGCCAAAAAAGCGUGGGUACUGGUCAGCAAACUACCAUAAUUUGAAAGCCGAAGUACAAGAUUGGGAAGGAUUUAAGAACGUGCAGAUAAUGUUUAACAACGGAACGUCAGAAGUUUCUAUAUUGGAGGAGUUGUGUGCGUAUACAGACUCUCGUAAAAAGCGAGAAGCGGAGGAGCAGAGAACUGGGGUGAACAAGCGGUUGAAAUUACGUGUUGUAGAAGGAGAGACACUUUACGCAUCCAAGAUUGAUAUGCCGCCUUCUCUACCGGAGGAUGCCACACUAGCUGCUCCUGAAACUUCAGCUGCUGUUUCUCCCCUCCCAAAAUGAUCAAUUAUCUCCUUGAUUCUUUUGUUUUUCUGGAUGGACACAGACAUCUACUGGAGGGUAGUAUUACGAAGCCUCAUCUAUAGUUGGUAUUAAUGUAGUAGGAAUUUCUGUUGGUAUAUAUGUAUGUCUAUGAACUCGCUCUUUACUGGUGUCAAAAUGUCUCGCAUGUACACUUAUACAGAGCAGGUACUAUAAGCAUUGAUUAGAAAAACGUGCUGAGAUAAAGAACU